UACGUAGGGUGCGAGCGUUGUCCGGAAUUAUUGGGCGUAAAGAGCUUGUAGGCGGUUUGUCGCGUCUGCUGUGAAAACUGGGGGCUCAACCCCCAGCCUGCAGUGGGUACGGGCAGACUAGAGUGCGGUAGGGGAGAUUGGAAUUCCUGGUGUAGCGGUGGAAUGCGCAGAUAUCAGGAGGAACACCGAUGGCGAAGGCAGAUCUCUGGGCCGUAACUGACGCUGAGGAGCGAAAGCAUGGGGAGCGAACAGG
Molecule: ribosomal RNA, 253 nt
Filed under: uncultured bacterium
Lineage: Bacteria
Description: partial 16S ribosomal RNA
Rfam family: Bacterial small subunit ribosomal RNA
Source: RNAcentral